RNAcentral lists this ribosomal RNA (497 nucleotides) under uncultured bacterium. RNAcentral's name for it is "partial 16S ribosomal RNA". It matches the Rfam family "Bacterial small subunit ribosomal RNA", at positions 28 to 507 of the family's 1533-position model. The record is from RNAcentral.
GAUGAACGCUGGCGGCGUGCCUAAUACAUGCAAGUCGAGCGAACAGAUGAGGAGCUUGCUCCUCUGACGUUAGCGGCGGACGGGUGAGUAACACGUGGAUAACCUACCUAUAAGACUGGGAUAACUUCGGGAAACCGGAGCUAAUACCGGAUAAUAUAUUGAACCGCAUGGUUCAAUAGUGAAAGACGGUUUUGCUGUCACUUAUAGAUGGAUCCGCGCCGCAUUAGCUAGUUGGUAAGGUAACGGCUUACCAAGGCAACGAUGCGUAGCCGACCUGAGAGGGUGAUCGGCCACACUGGAACUGAGACACGGUCCAGACUCCUACGGGAGGCAGCAGGAGGGAAUCUUCCGCAAUGGGCGAAAGCCUGACGGAGCAACGCCGCGUGAGUGAUGAAGGUCUUCGGAUCGUAAAACUCUGUUAUUAGGGAAGAACAAAUGUGUAAGUAACUAUGCACGUCUUGACGGUACCUAAUCAGAAAGCCACGGCUAACUACGUG